UACAGAGGGUGCAAGCGUUGUUCGGAAUUACUGGGCGUAAAGGGAGCGUAGGCGGAUAGUUUAGUCAGAGGUGAAAGCCCAGGGCUCAACCUUGGAAUUGCCUUUGAUACUGGCUAUCUUGAGUACGGAAGAGGUAUGUGGAACUCCGAGUGUAGAGGUGAAAUUCGUAGAUAUUCGGAAGAACACCAGUGGCGAAGGCGACAUACUGGUCCGUUACUGACGCUGAGGCUCGAAAGCGUGGGGAGCAAACAGG
This 253-nucleotide ribosomal RNA is filed under the name uncultured bacterium. Its description in RNAcentral is "partial 16S ribosomal RNA". It matches the Rfam family "Bacterial small subunit ribosomal RNA", at positions 524 to 776 of the family's 1533-position model. The record is from RNAcentral.